Molecule: ribosomal RNA, 474 nt
Filed under: uncultured bacterium
Lineage: Bacteria
Description: bacterial SSU rRNA
Rfam family: Bacterial small subunit ribosomal RNA
Source: RNAcentral
UGGGGAAUUGUUCACAAUGGGCGCAAGCCUGAUGACGCAACGCCGCGUGGGGGAUGAAGGUCUUCGGAUCGUAAACCCCUGUCGAAUGGGACGAAAGACUCGCGAGUGAAUACUUCGCGAGAGUGACGGUACCGUUAAAGGAAGCCACGGCUAACUCUGUGCCAGCAGCCGCGGUAAUACAGAGGUGGCAAGCGUUGUUCGGAAUUACUGGGCGUAAGGGGGCGCGUAGGCGGCCCUCUAAGUCAGACGUGAAAUCCCCCGGCUUAACCUGGGAACUGCGUCUGAUACUGGAGGGCUUGAGUAUGGGAGAGGGAUGUAGAAUUCCAGGUGUAGCGGUGAAAUGCGUAGAUAUCUGGAGGAAUACCGGUGGCGAAGGCGGCAUCCUGGACCAUUACUGACGCUGAGGCGCGAAAGCUAGGGGAGCAAACGGGAUUAGAUACCCCAGUAGUCCCUGAGCGGGCUGGCAAGGCGCAU